UACUGCUCUAGUCCCAGGAGUUGCCCAAGUCCCGAAUAAAUUCUGUCUUGCUCAAACUUUUAAAAUUUAAUUCACCUAAGGAAUUUUCCUUUUAACAGUUUUCAUGUAGUUGGCAAGAACCAAAGUUGAACUCCAAUAGCCCAGGAGCAACCAGGCCUAGAUACUAGAAGUCUAUCCUGUUCCUGUCUUGCUGCAUCUGGGAAUUAUAGUGGUAACCUCUGUGGAGACUUCAAACAAGGCUGGUUCAGCCAACGGGAGGAGGCAGCAAGCAGCCACUGAUACAGAAAUAACUCCCUGCCAGCCUGGCCUGCAUGUGGACAUUUCUGCUUUGCUUGUUAUCCUGGGCUAGCCAUGCAAAAUCAAGACUCACUGAUGGAGGAAGCAAUGUGCAUUACUGACUUCUUUCUUCAGCCCAAUGAACAGGAACAAAUGCAAGUCUGCAGUGAAGUAAGGUGAAUGGAACAUGGAAGAUUGGAAACAUAAGAGCCACCAUAAAGAAGAGAAAUUGUCCCCUGGGAAAAGAGAGAAGCAGCACAGCUGCCAGCCAUUGGAACUUCCACAUGGGAAGCUGACAGGAAGCAGGCCCAGCACAGGACACAGGUUCCAGAGAUGGCCUCAUCCUCAUCAGGCCACACACAAAGGUCAUCCAGCAGGACCACGGAGCCACCACUGCCAAAAUCCCCUGAGGUUUCCUGCUCCUCUUCUGGCACAAGAGAAAAAAAGGCUGAAGGGAUCAAACUCGGGACCUUGUGUUUGUGAGGCAGGUGCUGGAACCUGAGAGUGGCCUCAAACUCCUGAGCUCAAGCUGUCCUCCUGCCUCAACUUCCUGAGUAGCUGGGAUUAUAGGAACAUACCACUGUACCUGGUUGGAGAUCAUGUUUAUGCUGGUCGUACUGAAUUCAACAUUGACGAUGUAAUUUCUGACAACUCCUUACAAAAAUUCCAUCCAAACAAUUGUGGGAUCAGGGAUAGGGCAAAAUACUUUGCUUUAAACAAUGUGUUUUUGUAUUUUGACCAAAUAACAUACUAUGUGAAUAGAUUGUUGCAAAACUACAUGUAUUUAAGUGAUUGUGUGGAUCAGUAAUUUGAUCUCUGCCUAUUAGCUACAAGGUAGAAAAGCCCAUCACUAAGCGUCUUUGAGUUGAAUGCCUGGAGAGACCCCAUCAAAGUGGAAGUGCAAGACCCACUCUGAGCCUUCUCUCAGCUGCUGAUGGGAGAGAACUCUGCCCACUCCAUAGCUGAGCUCAGUGGUACCUCUCAGAGGUGGCUGCAUGUUAAUGGUGGGGAAGGGGAACAAGUGGCCAGGACUUACUUGCUAGGGAAAAACAAAACGCAAGCAGGAUAGUGUGCACAAUGAUAUACUAUCAAAGAUGUUUGCUGCAGUGUCUUUUAUAGCACUAUACAUUCGCAACAACAUAAAUGAUCCCUAAAUAUAGGUCUAGUCACAUAGUUAUAUCCAUAUAUUAGGAUUCUGUGUAGAUAUUGUAAAGCAGAGUACUACUCAACAACAGGAGAGUGCAGUCACAGUUAUAAAUGAGAUUAUAAAACAGUCUGUAAAAUGUGACCCCAAUUUUAUAAUCAUAGACAAACACAAAUAUAUUUUCAUCUAUGAUGAAGAAAAUAUCUCAAAAUAUAUACCAUGGCAUCCUUACAGUUGUUAAAAUGAUGGAAUUUUGUAGUUUUCUAUAAAUUUAUUUUCUAAAAUGUAAAUAUUAAACAUAUUUUUGUAAUCAGUUAUAAAAAUAUGUUGUAAUUUUCCUUGAUUCUAAAGCAUCAUCCCCUCUGCCAUAUGUUAAUAUUUUUUAAAUUGGAACAUAUUUUAAUGUAGUGUUUCUUUUUUAACCUCCAAAUGCUAUUGCUAAAUCAAUAAUGUCUGCUAAUUGAGGAAAUGUGAUAUUUAUAGUGAAAUAAAUUAGCAAA
Molecule: non-coding RNA, 1920 nt
Organism: Heterocephalus glaber (naked mole-rat)
Lineage: Eukaryota; Metazoa; Chordata; Mammalia; Rodentia; Bathyergidae
Source: RefSeq, a predicted model, not a curated record